CCUACGGGUGGCUGCAGUCGAGAAUCUUUCACAAUGGGGGAAACCCUGAUGGUGCGACGCCGCGUGGGGGAAUGAAGGUCUUCGGUUUGUAAACCCCUGUCAUGUGGGAGCAAAUUAACAAGAUAGUACCACACGAGGAAGAGACGCCUAACUCUGUGCCAGCAGCCGCGGUAAUACCGAGGACUCAAGCGUUGUUCGGAAUCACGGGGCGUAAAGCGUGCGUAGGCGGUUUAGGAAGUCGUGUGUGAAAGGCGCGGGCUCAACCCGCGGACUGCACAUGAUACUGCGAGACGAGAGGAAUGGAGGGGGAACCGGAAUUCUCGGUGUAGCAGUGAAAUGCGUAGAUAUCGAGAGGAACACUCGUGGCGAAGGCGGGUUCCUGGACAUUAACUGACGCUGAGGCACGAAGGCCAGGGGAGCGAAAGGGAUGAGAUACCCUUGUAGUC
This 446-nucleotide ribosomal RNA is filed under the name uncultured bacterium. RNAcentral describes it as "partial 16S ribosomal RNA". It matches the Rfam family "Bacterial small subunit ribosomal RNA", at positions 338 to 795 of the family's 1533-position model. The record is from RNAcentral.